Long non-coding RNA from Camelus dromedarius (Arabian camel), 3850 nucleotides. RefSeq lists it as uncharacterized. Lineage: Eukaryota; Metazoa; Chordata; Mammalia; Artiodactyla; Camelidae. The transcript is spliced from 3 exons. The record is from RefSeq and is a predicted model, not a curated record.
GGAAGAGGGGGGUCUCCCUGCCACAUGGGGUGCUGAGCUUAUUCCCCGACCCCACCUGUGUUCCCAAGUCACAUUCCAGGGGACCAGACAGUGGCUGCCUUUGUGGGGAGCACCAUUCAGAGGUGGGGGUCUGGACCACCUGGGACCGGGGCAGCAUCUGUCCCCGCGCUCCUGAGGUCUGCAGGUGGUCCCCACGGCUCCCUGCGGGGACAGCGUGCAGGGUAGCGGUCGGGCGAUUUCCAUCUGAUGGCGCAUCCUUCCUGCCUCCAAUGCUGUGCUAUGACUUGGCUGGAAGGACCCUAAGCCUUCGUCUUUCCUGCCAUGGGGAAGGGGAAGAGGGGAGCCGCUGCCUGUGGGCCAGGUAACUGUGGCACAGAGACAUUAGGUGAUUUGCCCAGGUCACAGAGCCCACGAGCACCUGCCCCCACGCACACCAGGAAGCUGGUGCCCAGGGCCAAAGUGACCAGCGGGCAGGGACAGCCCCCAGACUGUAGCUGGCUUCUGCCCUCCUCCCUCUUUGAAGGGGGCUUGAGCCGGGCCACAGGUGACCGGCGUCCGGGCAGGACACCAUCACCAACCCACUCUCGCACCUGCCUCCCCUGCCGCAGCCCCUCUGGCUGGCCCAAGCCCCCCAACCUGGUUGGACCUACUCUGGACGGCAAAGCCCAGAUGGACAAGGGUCCAGAGUCCACACCCCAUGUGGGGGCCUUGGGACCUGGAGCCUGCCCAAGCUGCCUUCUUACCACCCGAGAAGCGGGUAAAUCACGGCACCCCUGGGCCCUGGAGAGGCUGCCUGUGAUGGCCCUCGGAUGGCAACCCUGCCGUCCACUGUGCCGUCCACCCGCAUCCCCAUGCUGGGCCUCUGCUGGCCGGCGGCUCCCAUGCCACAGGGACCCUUUCUGUGGCUCCUCUGUGUGACAGGUGUCAGCCCCAGCAAGGGCCCUGGGCCCUUGUCCGUAGAGAGGCUUGGAGGCCCUGUCUGGUGGUCUAGCAGGGGCAGGAGCUCAGCCCCAGAUCCCAGUCUCCUGAGAACAGGUUCCAGAGCCUUCCAAAGGGGGAGGUGUUGCUCCUGGGCACCUGGCCUCCCCCACCUCGGUGCUGAACAGCACUGACCCCAGCACAGAGCCCCGCAGCCUCCCUGCCGAGCCCCUCAGACCCGGGAAGUUGCUGCGUCGAUUUCUUCACCCCCAGCCUUCCGUUGAAAAGGGAAAGAAAGCCCUUCUUUCUCAACCUGACUGCCAUCUCUCGCAGGAAGCCCCCGGCCGAGCUCGCAGUGGCCCAUCUUCCCACCAUGGCCGCCUGGGCAGGGCCUGGGGCUGGGGCGGGAGCGAGAAGUGCCCAGAGACCACCCCCAGUGAGGGAGGUCCACGAGGGGGCCACCGACCCACUGUCUGCAUUUAGAGAUUUCUUUGUUCCGGGGGUGCACUGGUUUGCCCUCAGCCAUGGUGCACAUCUCAUAUUUGGUGACGGCACCACGGCACACCCCUCAUCAACCAGACCUUCCCGUGGACGGUCUCGUGCAUUUUCACCACCUCCCUGUGGGGUCGGGGCCACUGUCACCCCCGUGUACAGAUAAGGACAUGGAGGCUCAGAGAGGUGAAGCAGCUUCCCCAAGACUGCACAGCCUUUGAGAGGCAGAGCUGGGAUUCAGACUCUGGACGCAUCACAGUGGGUUAAGGCUGGGACUGACCGGCACCCUGUUUGUGCCAGUGGACAUGUGUCCUCAAAACAACGGGCUACUCAUUACUCAGAUGGAGUUAAGGGCAAGAACCAGCUCACUGAGUUCUGGUGUCGCGUGAGGGGAGGGGCUCAGGGGAGGCUCUGGGUGGGCAGGGGACCCCAGCACCCCAGGCCCUGGGCACAGCCCUCCUACUGUGAGCUCAGGACACCGCCCACUCAAGGGCCCUGUGAUGCUGGCGGGGCAGCAGCCCCCCGAGGAAUGCACCCGGGGACACAGGGAGGGUCUCCGGCAGGGAAGCACCCUGGUUCCCUACUCGGGGCCCCCCCACCUCCCUGGGCACACCUAGAACGCUCCUGAAACAGGAAGAGGCCGAGCAGCCCCUUCCCCCCAGCCACACCAGGAACUCCCCCAAGGGGAGCUCAUCAGGUCUCGGGGGCGGGGGAGGGGCAGGACUCUCCAAAGGGCUCGGCCCCUCGGGGCUUCAGUGCGCCGAGGCAGGGCCCGCGCCCCAGGCGGGGCAUGAGUCCCACGUGCCUUAGUUUUUCAGAAAAGCAAAUUGAGGGACAUUUACCAAAAACCCUCACUACCAGCUGCUCUUUGUCAGGAAGUAGCUGUCCACAGCGCUUCUGGGAUGUGAGCUGCACACCUGGUGGUAAUUCCAGGGCAGGCUAAAUCCUCUUUGACCUGCAGACACAGGCACCUCUGGCUGCAGCUCUCACUGCUCUGACCUUGUCCCCGAGGUUCUGACUGUGCCCCCAAGCUCUGGCAUCAACCUGCUCAACCAUGGACCCGGUCUGAUCGACAGUGUCUCUGGGAAGCGCCCACACACCAGUGGAGGGGGAAGGUGGGGAGUCCCACUCAUUUGAAAAGUCCACUUCUCUGAGCUGCCCGGCCCCCCUGGACGCCAGCGUUGUGUGACGCAGAAGAAUUUUCUGUUCCUCCUGACCAGGCCACCACCAGCCACAGUGAAGCUGCAGCUGAAAACCACACUGGACUUCCUGUCAACGGCAGACCUGAGCCAGCGCCCGCCCAGCACGGCCCAGCGGAUGGGGAUGUCACUCGAGGGCCAGACGACUGCAAAGGAGUCUUAGAGAUGCUGCCCACGGCCUCGUGGGGCCAGCACUCUGGGACAGCACAGCCAGCAACGGCGGCACCUGCUGGGGCGCUCUCGCAGGGGACAGGCCUGCCCAGCUGCCCCGACCCCGGGACCCAGCUGGGCCACCCACCAGGAGGUGCCCCGCGAGGGCAGGCAGCACCAGCCCCCUUUGGGAAGAGGCUGACCUGGGGCCCCCAGGGUCUCAGGUCCAUGCAGAUCCAACCCAGACACAGACCCGGCCACACUCCCUCUGCCCACUCCCAGCGCCCCUCCGCCGCUCCACCCACGUGGAGAGGAGACCCUCAGGCGGGCUGCACAUGGUGCGCUGGGCGGGGGUUCUGUGUGCCGCCCUCGCGUCAGACAUCCAUUUCUGAGAAGGGCUUCGUGGGUGGACAUGGCCUCCUCCAGGACCCUCGCUCAGAUGAGCUGAUGGGCUCAGACACCCUGGCAAGACCUUCCGCUGGGCUGGGCUGGGGGUGUUGCUCCCCCCACCGUGACCCGUGAGCCAGGCGGCCCCCGGGGACACAUGCCAGCUGCCUGACCAACCCCAGCUGGAGCCCGCGGACUGUCCGUGUCACCAACCCUGCGCCCAGCCUCCCGGCCUGGCCAGCCCACUGGCCCUCAUCCCCACCCCAAGCUUAAGGUUCAGGCCCUCCUCUCCGCCCAUCAGCCCCACACUGGGGCUCCUUGUCCCCCACGGGACGCCCCAGAUCAACCCGAGAAAGGCUUCUACUCAAGCCGCUUCACCCUGUUGAACACACACGCUGUUCUCAACCCAAAAGUUGAGAUUUCCUCACAGCCAGGGACCCCAUGUCUCCCCGGACGGCAGCAGUCCACCCCAGAGCCUCAGCCCCACCCAUCCCUCCCCACGUCCUGCUCCACUCGGUCAGUGACAGAAAACAGCUGAACUGGCCUCCUGCCAGGGACAAGCCAGCCCCGGUCACCUCUGCAAGAGUAUUUCAGUAAAACCUGGGGAAGUCUCAGUAAAGAGAAGUCAUCUGCAAGCCAAAAACCCUCUUCCCUUCCUCCCGCCCCCACAAUUUUAGAUCUCUCCUCAAACUUUAUUAUGUUAA